RNAcentral lists this ribosomal RNA (194 nucleotides) under uncultured bacterium. RNAcentral describes it as "partial 16S ribosomal RNA". It matches the Rfam family "Bacterial small subunit ribosomal RNA", at positions 338 to 524 of the family's 1533-position model. The record is from RNAcentral.
CCUACGGGAGGCAGCAGUGGGGAAUUUUGGACAAUGGGGGCAACCCUGAUCCAGCCAUUCCGCGUGAGUGAAGAAGGCCUUCGGGUUGUAAAGCUCUUUUGUCCGGAGCGAAACGGUUGCGGUGAAUAUCCGCGACUACUGACGGUACCGGAAGAAUAAGCACCGGCUAACUACGUGCCAGCAGCCGCGGUAAU